UUGGAGGGCAAGUCUGGUGCCAGCAGCCGCGGUAAUUCCAGCUCCAAUAGCGUAUAUUAAAGUUGUUGCAGUUAAAAAGCUCGUAGUUGAAUUUCGGGGUCAGUAGGUCGGUCGUGCCACUGGUAUGAACUGGUUUUACUGAUUCCUCCCUCUUGAAGAACUGUAAUGCCAUUAAUUUGGUGUUGCAGGGAAUCAGGACUGUUACUUUGAAAAAAUUAGAGUGUUUAAAGCAGGCUUUAGCUUGAAUACAUUAGCAUGGAAUAAUGAAAUAGGACGUUUGAUCCUAUUUUGUUGGUUUCUAGGAUUGACGUAAUGAUUAAUAGGGAUAGUUGGGGGCAUUAGUAUUCAAUUGUCAGAGGUGAAAUUCUUGGAUUUAUUGAAGACUAACUACUGCGAAAGCAUUUGCCAAGGAUGUUUUCAUUAAUCAAGAACGAAAGUUAGGGGAUCGAAGACGACCAGAUACCGUCGUAGUCUUAACCAUAAACUAUGCCGACUAGGGAUCGGAUGAUGUUAAUUUUUUAAUGACUCAUUCGGCGCCUUACGGGAAAC
This 549-nucleotide ribosomal RNA is filed under the name uncultured Rhizophagus. RNAcentral describes it as "SSU rRNA". It matches the Rfam family "Eukaryotic small subunit ribosomal RNA", at positions 548 to 1098 of the family's 1831-position model. The record is from RNAcentral. Lineage: Eukaryota; Fungi; Glomeromycota; Glomeromycetes; Glomerales; Glomeraceae.